RNAcentral lists this ribosomal RNA (446 nucleotides) under uncultured bacterium. RNAcentral describes it as "bacterial SSU rRNA". It matches the Rfam family "Bacterial small subunit ribosomal RNA", at positions 29 to 517 of the family's 1533-position model. The record is from RNAcentral.
AGCGAACGCUGGCGGCAGGCUUAACACAUGCAAGUCGAGCGCCCGUAGCAAUACGGGAGCGGCAGACGGGUGAGUAACACGUGGGAACGUGCCUUUCGGUUCGGAACAACCCAGGGAAACUUGGGCUAAUACCGGAUACGCCCUUACGGGGAAAGAUUUAUCGCCGAAAGAUCGGCCCGCGUCUGAUUAGCUAGUUGGUGGGGUAAUGGCUCACCAAGGCGACGAUCAGUAGCUGGUCUGAGAGGAUGAUCAGCCACACUGGGACUGAGACACGGCCCAGACUCCUACGGGAGGCAGCAGUGGGGAAUCUUGGACAAUGGGCGCAAGCCUGAUCCAGCCAUGCCGCGUGAGUGAUGAAGGCCCUAGGGUUGUAAAGCUCUUUCGGCGGGGAAGAUAAUGACGGUACCCGCAGAAGAACGCCCCGGCUAACUUCGUGCCAGCAGCCG